RNAcentral lists this ribosomal RNA (208 nucleotides) under uncultured Treponema sp. RNAcentral's name for it is "partial 16S ribosomal RNA". It matches the Rfam family "Bacterial small subunit ribosomal RNA", at positions 568 to 775 of the family's 1533-position model. The record is from RNAcentral. Lineage: Bacteria; Pseudomonadati; Spirochaetota; Spirochaetia; Treponematales; Treponemataceae.
CAUGUAGGCGGUUUUGCAAGCUUGAUGUGAAAUGCCGGGGCUUAACUCCGGCACUGCGUUGAGAACUGCAUGACUAGAGUAACUGAGGGGCAGCCGGAAUUCCAGGUGUAGGGGUGAAAUCUGUAGAUAUCUGGAAGAACACCAAUGGCGAAGGCAGGCUACCAGCAGAUUACUGACGCUGAGGUGCGAAGGUGCGGGGAGCAAACAG